CUGGCUAAUUUAUAAAGAAAAGCGGUUUAAUUGACUCACAGUUCCACGUGGCUGGGAGGCCUCAGGACACUUACAAUCUUGGCAAAAGGGGAAGCAAGGCACUUUCUCUUCCAUAGGGUGGCUGGAGACAGCCAGAGGGGGUAACUGCCAACACUUUUAAACCAUCGGAUCUCGUGAGAACUCACUAUCACGAGAACAGCAUGGGGGAAACCGUCCCCAGGACCCGAUCACCUCCCACCAGGUCCCUUCCUCAACAGGUGAAAUUACAAUUUGAGAUAUGAUUUGGGUGGAGACACAGCCAAACCGUUAUCACAGGGUUUCCAUGAAUGCCUACCUCCUAAAGUGGAUUAUGAAGAAAUCAUGGCAUGGGAGAGCCCUGUACAUGGAGCCUGGCAUGGAGGCAGCAAUUCCUACACGGAGCCGCAGCUGUGAUUACUGUUAAUUAUCUUGCCUCCUUGUAGUGUUAGCAAUAGAGAAACAGAAGCACAGAGUUGCAGAGGGACCCAGCUAGGCACUGACAGAGCAGGAGACUAAGAUCCUCUGGCCUUGUUUGACCUUUCACUCUUUUUUCUCUUCCCCACCCUCAACUUUAUCAACCUAAUCACCCACCCUGUCUCUUUUCUACCAGGCAAACCAGGACAGUGGUGAAGUGCAGCAGGACCCCAGGUACCAGGGUCUGCGGGCACGUGGCCGGGAGAUCCGGAAGAAGCUUUUUCCUCUGUACCCCAGGGAGGCCCAGCUGGAGGAGCAGUUCUAUUUGCAGGCGCUGAAGCUGCCCAACCAGACCCACCCAGACGUGCCCGUCGGGGAUGAGAGCCAGGCUCAAGUACUCCACGUGGUCGGAGACAAGCCAGGUGGGCCACACCCCCGGCCUGGGAGCUGACAAGCCCUGUGGUGUGGGGGUUCUGGGGUCUCGGGGUGGGGGCCCCUGGGGUCUGGGAACAUGUCUGGAGCCUGGAGAACUCCUGGCGGUACAAGAGGUGGCUCCAGCUUCCUGCCUUGGCCGGGCUCAAGCUGUCUCUGAGAGGCGGCCCUUGGGUUUUCAUUAUCUCCCCCUUCACCACUGGGCAGUUUCACCCUGUGUUGUGUGAUUGUAUUGUAUGUGUAUG
Molecule: long non-coding RNA, 1109 nt
Organism: Piliocolobus tephrosceles (Ugandan red Colobus)
Lineage: Eukaryota; Metazoa; Chordata; Mammalia; Primates; Cercopithecidae
Exons: 3
Source: RefSeq, a predicted model, not a curated record